CAUAGGUCAGCGUGUGACUUUCCUGCUUCCUGAGAAGAAAGAGAGGAAGCAGAACUGGUACUUUCAAGAGAGGAUAGGGGCGCACGCUCACGCUGCUCAACCCUGGUGUUGGAGUGGGACAGGAACACAAAGUCAUUUUGCGCUCUGAACUUUCAAGUUGCAUUUCCAAUGUGAUUUUGCCGGUGCGAAGCUGGGCAGGGCAGCUGUCCUGGGACUACCUGGAUGAGAACCUGUGGAGCAGAGCCACUUUCAGAGCAUGCAGUAUGAAAGCACUUGCCACCGACAUCCUCUGCACAUUGUGGUGCCUCUACAGGGACACUGACAGCCCCGUCUGAUUUCGCUGUGUGCUGGCUGUGAAGAAAGGCACCAGAAGGAACCCACCAAACCAUCCUGCAGACACUGCUGCAGUGCCUCACCCUGUUGGCAAAGCUGGAUCACGUCGGGAAACAGAGUGCUUGUUGCUGGAGAUGAGUCCCCCAGUUUACCUGAGCUGGAGACUUCGGCUUCUGCACUUGCCCAACAGUUUCUAUAAGGAAGAGGAACUCCAUAGCCCUGGGACAACAGCCGCGCUGCAUCAGAAGAGGAUCACAUUAGAGAGCAAUGGCAUUGCGAAGGACACAGCUUCCACAGGGCAGAAGUGGAUUUUGAAGACUUCAGCACUGUACCUGUGACUGAUCUGCCCUGGGAUUUCUUUACUGCAGACAAUUGCUGCUGUCAUUGUGUUUAUCUAGUUAUAAAAAAAUCCAGUGUUGUGACUCCUAGAAAGGAAAAUGAGGCUUGGGGGAGAAUUCCGUACCUUGCUCUAAAGUCAUUACUUCCUCAUAAGGGGCUCUUGAGCUGUUGAAGUGACACAUAUGGAGUCAGCACAUAAUGAGCCCAAUCAGGGAUGACUUUAAGAUCCCUCUGGAAGGGCACGCAUUCUCCGUUACCUUUCCACAAGCUAAGCUGAGCUACCACAGCCAGCUGGAGAGAAAAAGCAAAGAGUUAAUCUGGAUUUGUCCGAUAUAACCUUCUACUAUGAGUCCUCCAAUGCUCUUCUGACCGUUUGGCUGAAACAUAAUCCUGAGCGCAGUGUCUCUCGUAUGAAGCACUAACAGCCCUCCAGGAACCGGAGUCCGGGGUGGGAAAGCAGAACAGUAGGAGGCAGGGAGACAGAGUAGGAAGAAGAUCGAGUUCCAGAGCAAGUGGGCAGAAGUCCUGAUGGCCUUGUGGGAUCUCCCAUGGUGGAGCUGACCCUUGCGCAGGGAUAGUGCCCUGGUAAUGCAUUGUGUGAAGGUCUCUGACUCCUCACAGAAGCAAUCCGUUUGAAACAGCUUUUUUAAUUUGCUUGCAGCCCUGAUCACUUCUGCCUUCCCUUUGCCUUUGCCCUGAGGCUGAAUGACAAAGAUAAGACUCUCCUUUACAUCUGCAGCUCCUAAG
Molecule: long non-coding RNA, 1419 nt
Organism: Cuculus canorus (common cuckoo)
Lineage: Eukaryota; Metazoa; Chordata; Aves; Cuculiformes; Cuculidae
Exons: 3
Source: RefSeq, a predicted model, not a curated record